RNAcentral lists this long non-coding RNA (691 nucleotides) under Salmo salar (Atlantic salmon). RNAcentral describes it as "lncRNA (ENSSSAG00000106980.1)". Lineage: Eukaryota; Metazoa; Chordata; Actinopteri; Salmoniformes; Salmonidae. The record is from RNAcentral.
CUAACCUAAACAGCAGUAGACAAGGCAUAUUGACAUUAGUGAGAGGCAUGUGUAGCUGAGUGAUCAUAGGGUCCAAUGAGCAGCAAUUAAGUGAGUCAGGGAGCCGUUCGGUAGUCGCUACUACGCUAGGUGAGCUGGAGACACAACGAUUCAGAAAGCUAGCGGGCCGGGGAUAGCAGAUGGGUCUUCAGCAACGUUGCAACGGAAAAGCUUGUUGAAACCUCCUCGGGCGAUUAUGUCCGCAGACCAGUCGUGAUAGAUCACAGGGGCUCCGUGUCGGCAAUAAAGGGUCCAGGCCAGUUGGCAAAAGAGAUAUACCGUGACGAGAUCCUGAGGCCCAUUGUCAUGCCAUUCAUCUGUCGCCAUCAGCUCGUUUCAGCAUGAUCAUGUACAGCCGUUGUCGGAAGGAUCUGUACACUAUUCCUGGAAGCUGGCAGUGGUGGAAAAGGUACUUUACAUCACUGGAAGCUGGAAAUGUCCUAGUUCUUCCAUGGCCUGCAUACUACCCAGACAUGUCACCCAUUGCGCAUGUUUGGAAUCCAGCAACUUCGCACAGCCAUUGAAGAGUGGGACAACAUUCCACAGGCCACAAUCAACAGCCUGAUCAACUCUAUGCAAAGGAGAUGUGUCACGUUGCAUGACGCAAAUGGUGGUCACACCAGAUACAAACUGGUUCUCUGAUCUACGCCCG